GAAGUUAUGAGGAUGUGACUUCGUCCUCAGAUCAAAUCCAGGACUGACGAGGGACAAAGAGCAGCUUCUUCUCUUUAAAUGUUUCCUCCACACAUGAAGGUGGAAAGUGUCUGGAAGUCGACCUGAAUUUCAGAAGAUAAGAAGAAGGUGGACUCUGCUAUGGAUCAGACUGAGGACACACAGGAGGGAGUCCGUCCCUCCAAAACCACUUUGAGGGGGGACCAUGAGAACCAGACCAGAGAUCGGAGGAUCCCACAGCAAAGACCAGAAUCUACUGUACCCAGCUGUGUCUCCAUGAAGAGUGACGUGUCCAUGGUGGAAGCCAUGCUGUUUAAUGCGAGACAGUAUAGGUGAAUAGGUUCAAAUUUUUAACUAACAGAUAUAAAAUAGAUAUUACAUGAAUACAACAUUUGUUGGUUUUACAUGUUUUCUAUUAAUGUAUAUUUAAAUAUGUUAAUAAGGAGUUAUCUACUUAAAUAUGCACUCAUUUGCAUACAUUCCCAGAACAGAAAUCUGUAUAAUGGAUAAGGUGAGGUUCAAAUUAAUUUUUGUUUCAUUUUGUUAACAUACUAGAUUUACAGGUAUUUAUAAAGGAAAUUUUGGAUAUCUUUUUUUAUCACUACAUAAAUCACAAAAUACUGUCAACAGUCCAAACUAAAACAAUCGCAUUGCCAUAUUUUGUAGGAAUAAACUGUUCUAUAAGUCUGGCUCUGAAUGAUAUAUGAAGAAUCCCCUGUGUACAUACCUGCAGAAUGCAGUUAGGAAUAAAUGUGUGAAGUUUG
Molecule: long non-coding RNA, 782 nt
Organism: Mugil cephalus (flathead mullet)
Lineage: Eukaryota; Metazoa; Chordata; Actinopteri; Mugiliformes; Mugilidae
Exons: 3
Source: RefSeq, a predicted model, not a curated record